This 239-nucleotide long non-coding RNA is filed under the name Elaeis guineensis (African oil palm). Its description in RNAcentral is "long non-coding RNA (EGUI_LNC022548)". Lineage: Eukaryota; Viridiplantae; Streptophyta; Magnoliopsida; Arecales; Arecaceae. The record is from RNAcentral.
GACCCCUAAAUUCGACAGGCUUAAUUAACCCCAUAAAAUACUUAUUUUUUGAAUUAAGCAACUACAUUGUAUCCUCUUCUCUCGUCUUCUUUGUUACAGCAGUCUAAUCAGAGUAUGUUCUAUCUUACUUGAUUGUUCAUAUGCUAAUAAUUUUUUUAUCAUAUAAUGAUGGAGAUUUACUUCCAAAGAAACCAGUAUCUCGCAUAUGUGGCAUUUUCAAAAUGUGAUUAUUUACACCA